CAUCGAGGUCAUAAACUUACUUGUCAAUAAGAACUUUCUAAGUAAAUAAAGCUGUUAUCCCUAAAGUAACUUAUUUCUUUUUUAGAAUUUCUAGAUAUAAAAACAAGCAUGUAAUAUUUUCUCAAGAAGAGCUUUUCUUCCCACCACCCCAGUGAAAUACUUUCAUUCCUUUCUUAAAAGAAGAAAAAUAUAAAGUUUUAUAGGGUCUUCUCGUCCAAAAGAAAAAUUUUAGCCUUCUUACUAAAAAGUAAAUUUUAUCUUAUUAAUUUUAAAAAAAUUCUCUCGGUUUACUCUUUCAUACCAGUCUUCAAUUAAAAGA
This 319-nucleotide ribosomal RNA is filed under the name Apistobuthus susanae. Its description in RNAcentral is "partial 16S ribosomal RNA". The record is from RNAcentral. Lineage: Eukaryota; Metazoa; Arthropoda; Arachnida; Scorpiones; Buthidae.